GGAACUGAACUGUUCUCGUAUCACUUUGUUCCUCCGGCCGUGCAGCUCUCAGCCUCUCUGCACCAUGACUGACCACUUCUUUCUUUCAGCUUCCUGUGAACUUUGAAGUUAAGCUGCUGUUCCCAUCAGGGUUGGAAUCAUGAAGCAAUCUGCCGUCUCGCUCGUUUUCCUUUUGCUGCUGUUUCUGCCUUUAUCAUCUGAAAAUGUCAUUGUCAAUGGAACCAGAGGAGCUCCAUGGCUCUGGCCAUGCCAGCACAUCUUCCCUGAACCAUUCCAGCCUAAUGAUAGUUUCAUAUACUGGCAGAGCCUGAACAACACUGUUCUCCAUGCUUAUGUAAACGGAAAGGAAGAGUCUAUACACCAAAACCAGCUGUUUAAAAAUAAGACUAAAAUCUUUGCUGAUCAAUUACCUUUUGGAAACUUCUCACUUGUCAUUGAUCCACUGACGCUGAAUGACAACACCUCCCUGGAAGUUAUUUUUGUAGAAAAAAUGAACCCUAAAAGACUCUGUCCAGUGACUGUGUAUGUAGCAGUUCCUUUUCAGGAGCCUAAAAUUGAGAUAAACCAAAAAGAGAUGACAGCGACCUGCAGAACAAAGGGAGGGUACCCUGAACCUCGAAGUCAUAUGGAGGUCCAGGGACCAUCUACAAGGAUAUGAGCGCACACUGGAACCACAUGAAGUUCGGACCAUCAUGUUCUCUGUAGAGGGAAAAACCUACAGCAUCAGGAGCACAGUCAACAUCACAGGGUCAUCCAAAAUGACCUGUGCAGUUUACAACCCGACUUCAAACCAGACACUGAGUACAACUAAAGAUGUGACUCUUUCUUCAGGAGCAAGAUUUCAUCCAACAGCUGUUGUUGUUCUUUUUAUUCUGGCCUUGAUUGUUUGUUUUUCUGUGGUUUUGUACCUGUGCUACAGAAGUAAGUGUUCCUUUUACUUUCCUUUGAAUGUUUGAUGUAACAUUAAGUGUUUGAAUGAGUAAUACUUCAGUGUUUAGUCACAUGGAUGUGUUAUAUGUUGCUUGGUCAUCUGUCCUGGAACAAGUCACCUUUGAGGAGAUCUGAACAUUUGCUGAGACUGUUGAAGGUCAACAGAAUGUUCCCUUCACCAUUAUUGUUUCGGGUUGAUUGGGUCUGUAUGAACGAAUGUGAGAAGAUCAACGCUGAUGAAAAUGUUUUGCAGACUUCUGUCCUCAGAUUUGCCUCUAAGGCUACAUCCAGGCCGCCUGCCUUUUUGAUGAAGGUUGUUGGGGCUGCAUGUAACCUGACAGGUAUACCUGCAGACACUACUCAGGGCUGAAUAAAGGCGCUGCUGAUUCAGUUUCUUCUGAUAAAAAUAAAAAAAUGGUCACAACGGUCACUUAACAUUAAUAUCCUCCUUAAAAGAAACUGAGCAGCAGUCAGAGAUGAAGCAGUAAAGCUCAGUGUUCUUUGUAGUAAAGAUGCAAAUACAACAAUUCUCUAUCAGGAAGUCUCAGGUGUCUGUUAGGCAACCCUCAAGCUAUGACGCCAGCCUGGCUAAAAACAAGAUAAAAUGUUUGUCUCUGCUGUUUUCUUCCACUGUCAUGACUCCAACAUUUCUCUUCCAGACAAACAAUCAACAAAAAACUCAUCUGGCUCAGCAGGAAGCUGAGAUUCACCUGAGCAAAAUGUUCGUGAGGAAACAGUUUCUCUAGCAGGGAAUCAAACUGCACAUCACCGUCCCACAGGGAAGAGUGAUGGUGCUGCACAUGGUGUGACCUGCGAUAACGCUCCUGCUGGUAAUGACGCAGGACACGAAAAAAGUGACAGCCUGAAAAUUUUAGAUGAAGUAAACAGCAUGGAAAGUGACAAAGACAAAUAAGAGCAGAACAGAUCAGAACUGCUGAAGGCAACGUAUUUAAUGACUGAAUAAUCAUAUUACUCUAAGCUUUUAAUCAAGAAUGCUAAAUACUACAGAUUUCAGGAACGACUUUUCCUGACUUCAAAGGUCAAAACUCCAGCACCACUUAUUGUAGCUGUGUAUGAAGAACAACUUAACUGUCAGACCAGUGUUUGUUCCUUAUCCUACAACACUGAAGCCAGGAGUCUUUAAAAUCUUAAAAGGUAUAAAUCCACUUCAUUUGUGUUAAACUGUCUGUCCCGUUGAUCAAAGGUCUUAAAUUGUCACAAUCAUGCAUUUAUUUUUUUCACAUUGCUUCAUAACAUCCAAGUUAACACUUGAGAAAUGCUGUUUUUCUUUUGUAACAUAACUACCUCCGACUGGAAUGAGCAGAACCAUCGACACUCUGCAAUCAUGUACGGUUACAAAGAAAGAUUUUCUACUGAACAGCUUCAAUCAUUUUUCUAAGAAAGAGCACUUAACAUUUUUUAGUGGAGGUGUUUUGAGGGGUCUGCAGCUUUAAGACCCAGACCUGAGUCCAGUCAGGGACCUUUAUUUGUUGUUGUUUGUUGUUUGUGGUCAGUUGCUGUUUCCUAUCCAAUAAAUAUAGAAUGCUAAAAAAAAAAAAACUGUUGUUAUGAAUUUUUAUGUGAAAUCAUAUCUGUGUGACUUUUGAUUGAUUGAUUGAUUUGUUCCAGGCGAUCAGAAAUUUAUUUUAAGAAAGUAUAUUAGUAUUAAAAAUAUUAAUCACAUAAAGUGAUAAGAUUAACAGAUUAGCUCAUUUUACUCAUUUUACAAAAGCUGCGGUCAGUCUCGAAGGAUGGAAGCAAUGUCAACAACAGGUUUUUGUUACUUCUCUGCAUCAGAGAUGUCACAGAUUCAAAGGAAUCCCUUCAGAUUCACAACUACAAGAAAGAUUUCAUCAGUUUUCAAUAAGGAAAACACUGUAAGAGAUUUUAUGUUUGCAGUUUAUAUUAAGAAGGAAUAAUAAGAACUCUAAGAUUUUGGUUUGUUUUCAUCCUUUCUUCAUUAAAAUCAAUCGUGAGUCUAUUGAACUGUGAUCGAGUUUUGAACUGAAUCCUGAUUUAAUACCAAACUAGAGCCAGUUGAUUAAUGUCACAAAUCAGAGGUUCAAAUCCUAAAUAAAGCAGCAUGUUACUCUGUUAUUUUACAGGUGAGGACUGGAAGACCCAGCUGCAGGGGUUGCAGUCAUUGUAUCUGCUCCAUCACUUGUGAACGAGUGCAGAAAAUGAACCAAAGCUCAGAGGUCAACAACAAAAACUCACCUACAGUGAAUUAAGCUCUGUGUUUACAGUCAUAAACUAAAUCAUGUGCUGACACCUGCUGGAGCAACAGUGCAGAGUUUACCAGGUUCUCACACAUGAGGAGUUCAUGAGUCACAAAGACCAAACCAUUUUAAACACAUUAUAACUUCUAUUUUAUUAUUUACAAUUAAUUGCAACUAAACCUUAUCCAGAAAAAAAUCAUCAAUACAUGUAUGGAAUAUAUGAAGGCUAAUGUAUACACCUACAUAUCAUAUCACUGCAAAUCACCUGUAAAGUAAAACUUUCCACAGAGACAGUUAAAGCUGUUGCUCAACAGUGAGACUCUAAUAACAGCAGUUCUCUGUUUUUAGUUUAGUUUAGUUUAGGGGGAAGCUGUCAUCAUUUAUUCAAACAGUAGAGGUCGCUCUUUAGCCUCAUAUGAAGCUGCCAUAUAAAUAGCACUGGCUACUGUCUUGCUUUUCAAAAUGAAAGCACUUCUUAACUCUGUCCAUAAUACUGAAGAGUUAACGUGAACCAGCUCACAACAGAUAGAAACAGGCUGUUACCUCCUGUCAGACCCACGGCACAAGCCAGCGUUUCUGAAAUAAAGUGAGAGAAUAGAUGUGGGGGGUUAGAGGGAAUCAGAACUAAAGAUCAUUCCACUGGGGGAGGACCUGAGCUCGAUGGACAGCAGCUUUGAAGGGAUUGCUCUUGAUUUUUUUUUUUUUUUUUUUUUAAGAUAAAGGAGGCUGGAGACAUUAAGCUGUUAGACAAACUGUCUCAGGAGGAAUGCACUUGGAGAAAUGCCAUGGGAAUUAGCUAAACAAACAAGGAGAGGAUUUUCUGCAUGGUCAGUAAAAGACGGAAAGAGCUGAUAUUGACAUAUGAUACUGCUGUGGUCACACUCAGACAGUCCGGAGUCAGAUAACAGAGUAUUAAAGAUCCUCUCUUGUUGGUCAACGGCUGCUUUGACUGGCAAUUAUCUAACACUACUACUCCACUACUAAAAAUGGACUCAUGAUCUUUUCCUGCGUUAGGCAUCAGUUCAGUCACUGGUGGAAAAACUGACUGUAACAUAAAAACUCAGCAGCAGAUGGGUGAUUGUGCGGAGGCCGAGGUUCUGCUACACCUGCCUCCAUCCUUUCCAACAGGUUGUCCUAAAAUAUUAAAAGGCACCUAAAGACUCAUGGGGACAAAGUCCUGGGAUGUACUUGUCAGUAUGCCCCUCCUCCAUCUCUGCCCUCGACCUCUGCAGCCCUCUUGUCCCUGGUUCCCAUGUCUCUGCUGGGAUUAAUCCCUGAACCACAGGUGUGAUAAUCCCAAACAGAAUGCUGCAGCAGAAACACUGGGACUGACAGUGCUCAGGCCCCAGUCUGCUUUGAUCAGGGGCCCAACAGCUUCCUGUUGGUCCACAAACCGAGCCCAGGACCCGCUUCCAAAGAGGCGAGAGAACAAAACAAAGAACAAUUGUUUUACAAAGUGCUGUCUGACUCUAAUGUAGCAUGAAGUGGUCAAUGCAUAGAAACUCUUUCACCAGUUUCCUGUUUCCAUGGGAUGUGCGUCUCAAACGUAUAGAAAACCACAAGUAUUUUCAACGUCAUAUUCAGAAACACUUGUGUUUGCUUUUGAUCACACUGAUCGGGAAAAUGUUUGUUGAUAAGAAAUCUGAAAGAUUGUUCUUUGACCUCUUGAAACACAAAGGAUUAAUGACUAGAGCGCCAAAGACAGUAACAAUGGUUUUACCUUCAGAACCAUGUGUUGAUCAGGACUAGUACUUUGACAUCAACAUAGCUGAUCUAAAGCAGAACAAACAUCAGCCUGACUCUCGGGGGCUGGUUCCUGUUGCACAGAUAAUUCAGAAUCAUGUUUGAGGAAAACUAAGUUUCUGUUCCUGUUUCUGUCACAGCGGCAGAAAACUCCUCAACUCUCUGAAGAAAUGAACAGUGCAAAACCUGCAAUCAUCAUCAAAUCUCUUUGUCAACUUCAUGGUGGUUCUCAAGCUGUCAGAGUCCUUUAAUGCUGUUUGGCUGUUUGAUGGUUGUUUGGUUUGUCCUUCCAGCAGGUUCUGUGACACAACUCAAGGAUAAUUAAAGCAAACAGGAUGCACCUGAACACAAUCUGGAGAGCCACAGCAAAGGGUCUGAAUACUUUUGUGAAUUAGAGUUAUUGAUUUCAGUUAAUUUAAUUUUUAAUAAAUUGGUUAUUGAUUGUG
Molecule: long non-coding RNA, 5338 nt
Organism: Lates calcarifer (barramundi perch)
Lineage: Eukaryota; Metazoa; Chordata; Actinopteri; Centropomidae
Exons: 5
Source: RefSeq, a predicted model, not a curated record